Long non-coding RNA from Vigna unguiculata (cowpea), 354 nucleotides. RefSeq lists it as uncharacterized. The record is from RefSeq and is a predicted model, not a curated record. NCBI's taxonomy places the organism in Eukaryota, Viridiplantae, Streptophyta, Magnoliopsida, Fabales, Fabaceae.
UCCUUGCCUCCUUGAACAGCCGCAACUCUCUGCUAGGGUUAGCCAUCAACCUUCUUCAAGCUAGCUCAAGCUAGGUUUUCACUCCACGACAGUUGUGCUCACUGUGUGCGUAUCGAAGUAUUCCGCUAGCCCUUUUCCAGAGGUGAGAACUCCCCGAAAUCAUCAGGGUGAUGGAGGUUCUGCUGCAUAGUCUGCUUGGAUUGGAUCUAAAACUUUUUGGGCUUUCUUUAUGGGCUAUGGCCCAUGUACUAGUCUAUCUUUUAAUUCCCUAUUUUGAUUAUGUUGCACUUUGUUUCUAGUUUGGUUUUUGGGUACCGUGGUAUGCCUUGGAUUAUUGUAAGGAGUUAAGUUUAA